GGUUAAGUUAGAAAGGGCGCACGGUGAAUGCCUUGGCACUAGGAGCCGAUGAAGGACGGUACUAACACCGAUAUGCUUCGGGGAGCUGU
Molecule: ribosomal RNA, 89 nt
Filed under: Cytobacillus firmus
Lineage: Bacteria; Bacillati; Bacillota; Bacilli; Caryophanales; Bacillaceae
Also listed under: 1 other name
Description: partial 23S ribosomal RNA
Rfam family: Bacterial large subunit ribosomal RNA
Source: RNAcentral